UACGGAGGGGGCUAGCGUUGUUCGGAAUUACUGGGCGUAAAGCGCACGUAGGCGGCUUUGCAAGUUAGAGGUGAAAGCCCGGGGCUCAACUCCGGAAUUGCCUUUAAAACUGCAUCGCUAGAAUUGUGGAGAGGUAAGUGGAAUUCCGAGUGUAGAGGUGAAAUUCGUAGAUAUUCGGAAGAACACCAGUGGCGAAGGCGGCUCACUGGACCGGAACUGACGCUGAGGCGCGAAAGCGUGGGGAGCAAACGGG
RNAcentral lists this ribosomal RNA (253 nucleotides) under uncultured bacterium. Its description in RNAcentral is "partial 16S ribosomal RNA". It matches the Rfam family "Bacterial small subunit ribosomal RNA", at positions 524 to 776 of the family's 1533-position model. The record is from RNAcentral.